RNAcentral lists this long non-coding RNA (841 nucleotides) under Strigops habroptila (Kakapo). RNAcentral's name for it is "lncRNA (ENSSHBG00005000757.1)". Lineage: Eukaryota; Metazoa; Chordata; Aves; Psittaciformes; Psittacidae. The record is from RNAcentral.
GGGGGGCACGUACAAAAAUAGAGGCGGGGGGUCCGGGGGGGGGAGUCCCUGCACCCCGGCCAAGGGAAGGGGUUGGGGGUGGUCAUUGGGGUGCGAGGGGGACAUGGGGGGGGGGGAGAUGAGCCCAGAGGUCCCCAAACCCCCCCCCCCCCUCCGCAAACCCUCCCUUGUGCUGGGGGGGGGGCAGCACUCAGCUGUGCCCCUCACCCCGCGUCAGGCCGGGGCCCCUGGACAAAGUGCGUCAGUGCUGGGGGGCACCGGGCCCCCCGGGGCGGGGGGGUCCCCUGGGUGCAGGGGUCCCCGGGAUGGGGGUUCCGGGGUUCGGGGUCCCCGUCCCUCACUGGCCGCCUGGCUCCAGCUUGUAAGAGAGCUCGAAGAGCAGGUUCUGGUUGUCGAUGACGCGGAGCUGCCGCACGUAAGCCUUGGUCUGCAGCUGGCUCGGGGACGCCUCCAGCUCCAGAGCGGGCGGCUCCGGUACUUCCGGAUGGUUCUCACUUUCUCGGCGAUGCAGUGCUGUUUCUCCACAUUGACCAGCCCAUCCAGGAGGGUUUUGCUGCCUUCGUGCAGGAAGGUCAGAUCUGGGGGUGAGCAGGGGGGUGACGGGGGGCCAAUGGGGCAGCGCCGGGACCGCGGCCCCCCCCAGGCACAGCCCGUGCCCCCCCCCCCACCUUUGAGGAUGAGCGGCACGAAGGGGAUGAGGGGGGGUUUCAUCUUGGCCAGCACCUCCCGGUACGUCUUGUGGUUCCUGCAGGGGUCCUGGGGGGGGGUUCCCAGGAGCACCCCACAUCUCCUUUACCUCCCAGGUGAGGCGCAGGCGGCUGAUGGCAGCGUUGUUGAGCCC